ACUCCUACGGGAGGCAGCAGUGAGGAAUAUUGGACAAUGGAGGCAACUCUGAUCCAGCCAUGCCGCGUGCAGGAAGACUGCCCUAUGGGUUGUAAACUGCUUUUAUACGGGAAGAAACAAUCUCACGUGUGAGAUCUUGACGGUACCGUAAGAAUAAGCACCGGCUAACUCCGUGCCAGCAGCCGCGGUAAUACGGAGGGUGCAAGCGUUAUCCGGAAUCAUUGGGUUUAAAGGGUCCGCAGGCGGUCAAUUAAGUCAGAGGUGAAAUCCUGCAGCUUAACUGUAGAACUGCCUUUGAUACUGGUUGACUUGAGUUGUACGGAAGUAGAUAGAAUGUGUAGUGUAGCGGUGAAAUGCAUAGAUAUUACACAGAAUACCGAUUGCGAAGGCAGUCUACUACGUAUAUACUGACGCUCAUGGACGAAAGCGUGGGAGCGAACAGGAUUAGAUACCCCGUGGUAGGAUACAG
RNAcentral lists this ribosomal RNA (469 nucleotides) under uncultured bacterium. RNAcentral describes it as "bacterial SSU rRNA". It matches the Rfam family "Bacterial small subunit ribosomal RNA", at positions 335 to 802 of the family's 1533-position model. The record is from RNAcentral.